GCCUGGGUGGCUCAGUCGGUUAAGCGUCUGACUUCGGCUCAGGUCAUGAUCUCGCGGUUCGUGAGUUCAAGCCCCACGUCGGGCU
RNAcentral lists this transfer RNA (85 nucleotides) under Felis catus (domestic cat). It matches the Rfam family "tRNA". Rfam says of the family: Transfer RNA (tRNA) molecules are approximately 80 nucleotides in length. Their secondary structure includes four short double-helical elements and three loops (D, anti-codon, and T loops). Further hydrogen bonds mediate the characteristic L-shaped molecular structure. tRNAs have two regions of fundamental functional importance: the anti-codon, which is responsible for specific mRNA codon recognition, and the 3' end, to which the tRNAs corresponding amino acid is attached (by aminoacyl-tRNA synthetases). tRNAs cope with the degeneracy of the genetic code in two manners: having more than one tRNA (with a specific anti-codon) for a particular amino acid; and 'wobble' base-pairing, i.e. permitting non-standard base-pairing at the 3rd anti-codon position. Lineage: Eukaryota; Metazoa; Chordata; Mammalia; Carnivora; Felidae. The record is from Rfam by way of RNAcentral.